AUGUGCGAUCGAGAGAGAGAGGUCAGGGGAAACCUUUUUCCUCAAAAACCUAGCAAAAUAAUCAUCAAAUUAAAGGGGUUUAAGGCUGAAUUUGCAAUGCAUGAGCAAGGAACUUUGAUCUCCUAAGUAUUCUUGACAUCAAGGUCGAAGAAAGGAGGGGAAUCAAACCAAGCAAAGGCAAUAGGAGCGCACGACUCCGGGUCGAAGAAAGGAGGGGAAUCAAACCAAGCAAAGGCAAUAGGAGCGCACGACUCCGGUGAAUCUCACUCUUGGUAAUGGCGAGCUUGGAUCGAACACACCACAUCGCCCUUUAUGCGCUUCCGGUUAAAGUUGUCUUUGUAAAUGGGUCAAAACACUUUCAUAAUGUAAAUGUUAAAUUUAUGUCUAGGAUGUUUUGUAGGUAAGUUAGAAUUUUAAAUCUUAU
Helianthus annuus (common sunflower) is the source of this 424-nucleotide long non-coding RNA. RefSeq lists it as uncharacterized. The transcript is spliced from 4 exons. NCBI's taxonomy places the organism in Eukaryota, Viridiplantae, Streptophyta, Magnoliopsida, Asterales, Asteraceae. The record is from RefSeq and is a predicted model, not a curated record.